AGGUAGUAACAGGGUUCGAUUCUGGCUCAAUUGAACGCUGGCGGGAUGCUUUACACAUGCAAGUCGAACGGCAGCACGGACUUCGGUCUGGUAGCGAAGUGGCGAACGGGUGAGUAAUGUAUCGGAACGUGCCUAGUAGCGAGGAUAACUGCGCGAAAGCGUAGCUAACCGCAUACGCCCUUCGAGGAAAGCGGGGGACCUUCGGGCCUCGCACUAAUGAAACGGCCGAUAUCGGAUUAGCUAGUUGGUGGGGUAACGGCUCACCAAGGCGACGUCCAUGUAGCUGGUUUGAGAGGACGACCAGCCACACUGGGACCACGAGACACGUACAGACUCUACGGGGAGGCAGCAGUGGGGAAUUUACGGACAAUGGGGAAACCCUGAUCCAGCCAUCCCGCGUGUGCGAUGAAGGCCUUCGGGUUGUAAAGCACUUUUGGCAGGAAAGAAACGGCACAGGAUAUGCCCCGUGCAACUGACGUACAGAAUAAGCACCGGCUAACUACGUGCCAGCAGCCGCGGUAAUACGUAGGGUGCAAGCGUUAAUCUGAAUACUGGGCGUAAAGCGUGCGCAGGCGGUUCGGAAGAAAGAUGUGAAAUCCCAAGACUUAACUUUGGAACUGCAUUUUUAACUACCGAGCUAGAGUGUCAGAGGUGGAAUUCCGUGUAGCAGUGAAAUGCGUAGAUAUGCGGAGGAACACCGAUGGCGAAAACAACCUCCUGGGAUAACACUGACGCUCAUGCACGAAAGCGUGUUAAACAAGUUAGAUACCCUGGUAGUCCACGCCUAAACGAUGUCAACUAGCUGUUGGGGCCUUCGGGCCUUGGUAGCGCAACUAACGCGUGAAGUUGACCGCCUGGGAAGUACCGGUCGCAAAGAUUAAAACUCGAAUUGACGGGGACCACUGGUGGAUGAUGUGGAUUAAUUCGAUACAACGCGAAAAACCUUACCUACCCUUGACAUGUCUGGAAUCCGAAGAGAUUUGAAGUGCUCGCAAGAGAACCGGAACACAGGUGCUGCAUGGCUGUCGUCAGCUCGUGUCGUGAGAUGUUGGGUUAAGUCCGCAACGAGCGCAACCCUUGCUCAUUAGUUGCUACGAAAGGGCACUCUAAUGAGACUGCCGGUGACAAACUGGAGGAAGGUGGGGAUGACGUCAAAGUCCUCAUGGCCCUUGGUGGAGCUUCACACGUCAUACAAUGGUGGGACGAGGUGCUCAACCGCGAGAGGCCAAUCCAGAAGCCCGAUGUGGAGUGGAUUGCAAGUCUGCAACUCGACUGCCAUUGAAGUCGGAAUCGCUAGUAAUCGCGGAUCAGCAUGUCGCGGUGAAUGGUCCCGGAGUGCUUGUACACCACCGCCCGUCACCUGCUGGGAAUUGGGUUUACCAAGUAGUUAGCCUAACCGCAAGGAGGGCUGCGAUUACUACGGUAGGAUUCGCGGCUGGGGGUGAAGUCGUAACAAGGUAA
This 1461-nucleotide ribosomal RNA is filed under the name uncultured Bordetella sp. RNAcentral's name for it is "partial 16S-23S ribosomal RNA intergenic spacer". It matches the Rfam family "Bacterial small subunit ribosomal RNA". The record is from RNAcentral. Lineage: Bacteria; Pseudomonadati; Pseudomonadota; Betaproteobacteria; Burkholderiales; Alcaligenaceae.